UGGGUUGUAGCUCAACAGCAGAGCAUCUGCCUUGCAUGAGGAAGGUCCCAGGUUCGAUCCCCGGCAACUCUG
Molecule: non-coding RNA, 72 nt
Organism: Podarcis lilfordi (Lilford's wall lizard)
Lineage: Eukaryota; Metazoa; Chordata; Lepidosauria; Squamata; Lacertidae
Source: the annotation of a GenBank genome assembly